CUGAAUCCAUAGGUUAAUGAGGCGAACCGGGGGAACUGAAACAUCUAAGUACCCCGAGGAAAAGAAAUCAACCGAGAUUCCCCCAGUAGCGGCGAGCGAACGGGGAGGAGCCCAGAGCCUGAAUCAGCAUGUGUGUUAGUGGAAGCGUCUGGAAAGGCGCGCGAUACAGGGUGACAGCCCCGUACACAAAAGCGCAUGUGCUGUGAGCUCGAUGAGUAGGGCGGGACACGUGGUAUCCUGUCUGAAUAUGGGGGGACCAUCCUCCAAGGCUAAAUACUCCUGACUGACCGAUAGUGAACCAGUACCGUGAGGGAAAGGCGAAAAGAACCCCGGCGAGGGGAGUGAAAAAGAACCUGAAACCGUGUACGUACAAGCAGUGGGAGCACCCUUUGGGUGUGACUGCGUACCUUUUGUAUAAUGGGUCAGCGACUUAUAUUCUGUAGCAAGGUUAACCGAAUAGGGGAGCCGGAGGGAAACCGAGUCUUAACCGGGCGUUAAGUUGCAGGGUAUAGACCCGAAACCCGGUGAUCUAGCCAUGGGCAGGUUGAAGGUUGGGUAACACUAACUGGAGGACCGAACCGACUAAUGUUGAAAAAUUAGCGGAUGACCUGUGGCUGGGGGUGAAAGGCCAAUCAAACCGGGAGAUAGCUGGUUCUCCCCGAAAGCUAUUUAGGUAGCGCCUCGUGAAUUCAUCUCCGGGGGUAGAGCACUGUUUCGGCUAGGGGGCCAUCCCGGCUUACCAACCCGAUGCAAACUGCGAAUACCGGAGAAUGUUAUCACGGGAGACACACGGCGGGUGCUAACGUCCGUCGUGAAGAGGGAAACAACCCAGACCGCCAGCUAAGGUCCCAAAGUCAUGGUUAAGUGGGAAACGAUGUGGGAAGGCCCAGACAGCCAGGAUGUUGGCUUAGAAGCAGCCAUCAUUUAAAGAAAGCGUAAUAGCUCACUGGUCGAGUCGGCCUGCGCGGAAGAUGUAACGGGGCUAAACCAUGCACCGAAGCUGCGGCAGCGACACUGUGUGUUGUUGGGUAGGGGAGCGUUCUGUAAGCCUGUGAAGGUGUGUCGUGAGGC
This 1071-nucleotide ribosomal RNA is filed under the name Salmonella enterica subsp. enterica serovar Enteritidis. RNAcentral describes it as "partial 23S ribosomal RNA". It matches the Rfam family "Bacterial large subunit ribosomal RNA", at positions 158 to 1269 of the family's 2925-position model. The record is from RNAcentral. Lineage: Bacteria; Pseudomonadati; Pseudomonadota; Gammaproteobacteria; Enterobacterales; Enterobacteriaceae.